UACAGAGGUCCCAAGCGUUGUUCGGAUUCACUGGGCGUAAAGGGCGCGUAGGCGGUUUGCACAGUCAGAUGUGAAAUUCCUGGGCUCAACCUGGGGGCUGCAUUUGAUACGUGUAGACUUGAGUGGGGAAGAGGGUCGUGGAAUUCCCAGUGUAGAGGUGAAAUUCGUAGAUAUUGGGAAGAACACCGGUGGCGAAGGCGGCGACCUGGUCCUUGACUGACGCUGAGGCGCGAAAGCGUGGGGAGCAAACAGG
RNAcentral lists this ribosomal RNA (253 nucleotides) under uncultured bacterium. RNAcentral's name for it is "partial 16S ribosomal RNA". It matches the Rfam family "Bacterial small subunit ribosomal RNA", at positions 524 to 776 of the family's 1533-position model. The record is from RNAcentral.